AACACUGUUAACCUGCGGUACCUGCGGAAGGAUCAUUACACAAAUGAAAAUAUGAAGGCCCUUCAAACCGGCUGGAUUAUUUUUCUUCACCCUUGUCUUUUGCGCACUUGUUGUUUCCUGGGCGGGUUCGCUCGCCACCAGGACCACACCAUAAACCUUUUUGUUAAUGCAAUCAGCGUCAGUAAAAAGUAAUAAUUAUUUUACAACUUUUAACAAUGGAUCUCAGAUCGGAAGAGCACA
This 240-nucleotide unclassified non-coding RNA is filed under the name soil metagenome. RNAcentral describes it as "partial contains 5.8S ribosomal RNA, internal transcribed spacer 2, and large subunit ribosomal RNA". The record is from RNAcentral.